Molecule: long non-coding RNA, 540 nt
Organism: Medicago truncatula (barrel medic)
Lineage: Eukaryota; Viridiplantae; Streptophyta; Magnoliopsida; Fabales; Fabaceae
Exons: 2
Source: RefSeq, a predicted model, not a curated record
AUAUUAUGAUCAUCCCAAACUUGCAAUUAACUACAUCUAUAGAUUACUAGUUUUUGUUAGAAAUGACUUCUCUCUUCAGUGCCUCCAAUAAUAAUAUGAAGUCAUUUGUUGCUCUCUUGGCAAUACUUUUAUUACUCGUGUCAUCUAUCAUGGGUAUUGCUGCCCAAUCCAAUUUCAAACACGGGCGAAAACUUUUCCAACAAUACUCUGCACCCUCUUAUGGUUCAUUCCCUGGUGGUGGAGGAUAUAAAUAUCCAUGAAAUUAUUAGCUCCAUGGUGGAGAAAAUAAUCACUCCCAACUGCUAUGUGCCUAAACUGGAGCUGCUAAUUAGUACUCAAUAUAUAGCUUAUAUGAAUUCUUUCAAAAUAAGGAGUUAUACAAAUUAUUUGUAUCUUAUUUGGCAUUGUACUAUUAGAAUAAGGAGUUUUAUUUUUGUUGUUGUUAAUCCUCCGGUUUGUAUGUAUGGUAAUAUGACCCUCUUAACCCAAGGGAAAUUUAAAAUAUAAAAGCAUCUGCCGGUUAAGAUUUUUCAUUGCCCA